UUUAAGUGUAGUUGUAGAUUUCUUUGUCCAACGUUUAACAGUCCGUCUUAUUUAAAAUUUUUUAUGAUUAGUAUUUUUCUUGAUAUUAAAUGAUAAAAUAUGAAUAGUGCUUUAUGCGUACUUAUUUUUUAAUUUUUUUAUAAUUAUUUUAAAUAAGAUGAAUGGUUAAAGUUGGAUAAAAAAACGAAAAGGACCGAGA
Oryza meridionalis is the source of this 199-nucleotide non-coding RNA. NCBI's taxonomy places the organism in Eukaryota, Viridiplantae, Streptophyta, Magnoliopsida, Poales, Poaceae. The record is from Rfam.